GAAGAAAUAAAUAUUAGUUAAAACGAUUAAAAAUGAUAGCUGAAAGUACAAAUGUAGCUUUAUUCUUUUAUAGCAGCGGUAUUUGUUAAAGGGACUGAUCGAUAAGACGCGCGUGUUCAACAUCAUGCAAGCAUGUGGAAUGGUUAAGUGGUUAAAUGCUUGAUAAGUGAAAUGACAGCUUUAUUGCCUUUACGCCUACGCAGGUCAAUUCAGUUAAAAUUAAAAAUGAUGCACCGUCUAGUAUUUCUCGCACUUAUAUCAUCAGAAAAAACGCCAAAGGUAAUUACAUUUCAGUGUUGAAAUUUUUGUAUAUGCAACAGUUUCAUCAAAGGAGCGAAGUGAUGUAAUUUAGUAUUGUGAUUUGUCAAGUAUUUUGAAAAUUUUUACUUUUCAAUGGUAUACAGUCUUGCUAAGCCGUUGAGAGUGAAAACAAAAUCUACAUGUAACAGCUUACAAUUCGUAUCUUUUCCCAGUUUUGAAAUGGCAAAGUAAAGCUAUAAAUCUGUUAUGCCGGCAUGUUAAAACAGUAAAGUAUAAACAUAAACGUUAUUAAUAGAGGUUUUAAGUUUUUGUGAUAACCAUCCAAAGAAAUCAGUUAUGCCGGCAUGUUAAAACAGUAAAGUAUAAACAUAAACGUUAGUUAAUAGAGGUUUUAAGUUUUUCUGAUAACCAUCCAAAGAAAUCAAAAAAUGUACAUGCGGUAUGGGCUUUGCACAUUGUUGAAGGCCGUACGAUGACCUAUAGUUGUUAAUUUCUGUGUCAUUUGCAAUCAUAC
RNAcentral lists this long non-coding RNA (775 nucleotides) under Mytilus galloprovincialis (Mediterranean mussel). The record is from RNAcentral. Lineage: Eukaryota; Metazoa; Mollusca; Bivalvia; Mytilida; Mytilidae.